RNAcentral lists this ribosomal RNA (397 nucleotides) under Bacillus subtilis. Its description in RNAcentral is "bacterial SSU rRNA". It matches the Rfam family "Bacterial small subunit ribosomal RNA", at positions 146 to 529 of the family's 1533-position model. The record is from RNAcentral. Lineage: Bacteria; Bacillati; Bacillota; Bacilli; Caryophanales; Bacillaceae.
ACUCCGGGAACCGGGGCUAAUACCGGAUGGUUGUUUGAACCGCAUGGUUCAAACAUAAAAGGUGGCUUCGGCUACCACUUACAGAUGGACCCGCGGCGCAUUAGCUAGUUGGUGAGGUAACGGCUCACCAAGGCAACGAUGCGUAGCCGACCUGAGAGGGUGAUCGGCCACACUGGGACUGAGACACGGCCCAGACUCCUACGGGAGGCAGCAGUAGGGAAUCUUCCGCAAUGGACGAAAGUCUGACGGAGCAACGCCGCGUGAGUGAUGAAGGUUUUCGGAUCGUAAAGCUCUGUUGUUAGGGAAGAACAAGUACCGUUCGAAUAGGGCGGUACCUUGACGGUACCUAACCAGAAAGCCACGGCUAACUACGUGCCAGCAGCCGCGGUAAUACGAA